CAGUAGCCGCGGGAAAACGAAGGGUGCAAGCGUUACUCGGAAUUACUGGGCGUAAAGCGUGCGUAGGUGGUGGUUUAAGUCCGUUGUGAAAGCCCUGGGCUCAACCUGGGAAUUGCAGUGGAUACUGGGUCACUAGAGUGUGGUAGAGGAUAGUGGAAUUUCCGGUGUAGCAGUGAAAUGCGUAGAGAUCGGAAGGAACAUCCGUGGCGAAGGCGACUAUCUGGGCCAACACUGACACUGAGGCACGAAAGCGUGGGGAGCAAACAGGAUUAGAUACCCCUGUAGUCCCUGUCUCUUAUAC
RNAcentral lists this ribosomal RNA (301 nucleotides) under uncultured bacterium. Its description in RNAcentral is "partial 16S ribosomal RNA". It matches the Rfam family "Bacterial small subunit ribosomal RNA", at positions 509 to 807 of the family's 1533-position model. The record is from RNAcentral.